AGGUCUUGUGGAGAUAUAUGCCAAAGAAGACAGUUUCAUCUUUACAGUUGAAUCCACUGGUGCGAUCAAAGCUUCUCAGUUGGUUCUUAAUGCUAUAGAAAUCCUGAAACAGAAGCUGGAUGCAGUUCGCCUGUCUGAGGAUACUGUGGAAGCUGAUGAUCAGUUUGGUGAACUAGGUGCCCAUAUACGAGGAGGAUGAUCUGCUUGUAAUUAUGAACUAGCCAUUGACAUUUGUAGGUUUCAGAAAAGGCGUGUUUACAUCUAACUAACUUCCUUUUGUUUAAAACUCUUGAGAUAUUUUGGGUAGAACAGACUACUUGUUUUCCUCAAUGAAAAUUGUCAGCUAUAUGCCAUCUGUUUUAAACUUAAAAGCCAGCAAAGCAUGGACUGGCAAAUGAUUUAGCCUGUAGCUUAUUACUUUGUCCAAACUAUCAGCCUUUGUAUUUAUGUUUCUGCUUUGUUGUUUCUUCCCACCAGUGAUUCAUCAGUGAGCUUUUAGCUGGUUGAAAUGUAUAGUAGCAUUUCGCUUUUUGCCUCUAUUGUAUGUCGAGAUUAAGUUUCCCUUUGGCUUCGUCAAGUUGUCAUCUAGGUUUAAAAAUGGUGGCUACAACUACAGUAGAAACUUAUAUGACUACAACUUUAUUACUCCAUUCUUAUUCUGCUUCUCUAGAAUUAAAUUGACGGUCAAACUGAUCAAACCAUCAAUUUUCGGUUCAAUGAGUUCGUCCAUCUUUAAUCACAAGUUCAAUUAAUUUUUUUCUUGGUUCAACUGAUUUACACUUAUUUGUGAAUCAAUUGAUCUAAUUUGAACCGAUACAGUUGAAACUAAAUUUUACUUAAUUUAUGUAAAUCUUGGCGGUCCAAGAAUUCUCUUAUCAACUUAAACAUGAAACAAGCCAAAAUAAUACAAUGACAUGUUUAAUAAUCGUCUUCCUUGGCACGUAUGUUUGGAACUCGGAUUGAGUGUUUAUGCAGAAUAUAAUUCUCAAGUUAUAUUUUGAUUUUAGUNNNNNNNNNNNNNNNNNNNNNNNNNNNNNNNNNNNNNNNNNNNNNNNNNNNNNNNNNNNNNNNNNNNNNNNNNNNNNNNNNNNNNNNNNNNNNNNNNNNNAAGAUUACUAUUACGCCUCUAUUCCAUUACAUUCAACCAAACAGUUGAUUUGCUAUUACACCUCUAUUCCAUUACACCUCUAAUCCAAUACACCUCUAAUCCAAUACAGCGAACCAAACGUGCUAGGUUUUUAUAUGAUCAUUGUAAAAGGUUAGGUAUUUAAUCGAAAAAGAAUUAUUUCUACAGUGAUUUUGGAAUUUGAAUUCCAAAUCAAUUAUGAGUUUUUUUUUUUCAAAUUAUUUCCUUAACUAAUUAGGUUAAGAUUGGUAUUCAUUGAAAGGUUUAAUAUCUAAAGUAGAAAGUUGGGAUGGGAUUGGAACUUCAAAUUAACUAGAUAUUCUUUUUAUUUAAAAAUAAUUUUAUAAAUUUGUCAAUCAGAAGGAUCCAGUUAUUUUUUGCUGGUUCAAUAUAAAUCCGGUUGAUUUUUAGGUUAGUUCCAAGUUUGUGUUAAUUGUGUUUCGUUAAUUUUAGGUUUUAUUGUAAGUUUGGAUUAUUUUGGGUUUGAUUUAUUUGGAUUUUAAGUUUGUUAUUGUUUUAAAUAAUUUUGAGCUUGAGUUAUCUCAAAUUUGAGUAGUUUCAAGUUUAGGUUAUAUUAUCUUUAAGUCGGCUUGGGUUCAAGUUUUUGAUUGUUUAUGGUAAAGUUGAGUUAAAUUGAAUUUGAGUUUAAUUUGAUCAUAAUAAGUUUUCGAGCUCAAGUCAAAGUGGAUAAAUUUAGACAAGGCCAAUUUUUUUUUCUUUUUAAAAUGACCUUUAUAAUGCCAAGCUAGUUUAUUUAAAAGGGUUAAUAUAUUGUGUUUUUUUAAUAAUUUGAUCAUAUCUGUUCUUUUUGACAUAAUACUUAAAAUUACCUAUAGCCUCUCCUUAACCAAUAAAUAGGAGGAUAAUGUGCUUUAGCGCACUCAAACCCAUAUCUUCUUGUAUUGACAACAAUACUCAUACUAAUUGAAUUAAGACUUAAUCGACAGAACUAAUAUUGUUAGUACAUAACAUUAACUUUUAUGAUCAAUUUAGUAUUUAAUUAUUUUUGUAGUACUUAACUUUGAAUUGGAGCCAAUGAAAUGGGACAUGUGACAGCUUGUUAAAUUAUUUAUUAAUUUAAGUAAAUGAACAUAUGUAACCAAGGGGCAUUUUCAUAUCAUAUAUGCAUGGCUAACUUUUUUAGAUAUAGACCAUAUCAUCAUGAAUUCACACAAACUCUUUCAAUUUUCAUUGUUUUGUGGAUCUCAUGGAAUUCUCAAAACCUUAAAAUCAAUUUUGAAUACCCUAACUUAUGAUUUCAUCAAGUUUAAAUUCAAAAUAAAAACAAUAAUAAUCCAUAUGAAUUCUUAGGUUUAAAUUCAAAAUAAAACACUAAUAAUCUAUAUGAAAAUGAAACGUAGAAUCAUUCCCGCUUCAGUCAAUCAAUAUCUAAUUCUUAAAAUCUUGAUUUAGCAUUUCAGUAUGAAGUUUUGCAUUAUGAAAAUUUUGACCAUUCAUACAGCACUUCGGUCUCACGAAAUAUUUGAAGUUUUGCAUCAAACAAAAUUCCAAACUACUCCACCGAAACAAAAAGGUUCAUCCAAAAAAUUUACCUGAUUUGUAUUGUCUAUGGUCUGGAGUCUCCAUUUUAAUUUUCGUUACAAGAGUUUUACUCUAUUUCCUGCUCACAAGAUUUUUUAAAUAAAAUAAAAAAAAUUACAUAAAAAUGACUAUCUAAUUACAUAUAAAAAAUAAACUAAUUAUAACCAUUUUAAUUUUAAGAACCAUAACUUUGAAAAUAAAUAUAUAAUAAACAAUUAUAUACAUAUUCAACAUUCAUAAGAUUUAGAAUGUCAUUUUCCAUCGAUUUAAUCAGUACACAAAAAGGAAAAUCAGUUCAUACUAUUAGACAAUCUUGGCUUGAAUGUUACUUCUUGGAAAAUCAUUUAGAAAAGUUGCUAGAGUUGGAAUAGUGAAAUUUUUAAAAAAAAAUUCUAAAGCGGAAUUUAGUUGUUAUAUCUAAAAAAAUAAAUCCGAUCAAAUAAGUACAUGUUCAGCAAAAUUUAAGAAAAAGUCUAAAUCACAAAAGGGCUCUAAGAAGGUGCCCAAACUUUCUAAUCAACCCAAACUAAAGUAUGAUGUCUUCGAGUUUCUAACUAAUUGAUCUUCUUCGUUGUUCUUGAAUUUAUAAUUGCUUAGAGAGUGUAAUCUAACUAAAAGAAAUGAACACAACACAAACACCAAGACUCCCCAAGAAGUGCCUUGCAAUAUAUCAUGAAUACUUGAAGUAGUCGAAAAUUACAAGUAGACCAUGACAAAAUUAAUUAUACUUUGGGCACAAAUCACUGUCAAAUUUAUCUGACAUCAACAUGUAAUACCCCGAAAAUUACUAUAGUAAAAAAGUAAGAUAAUAUCCUUGAUAUAGUAAAAUAAGGAAAUAAAGUGAUAGAAAGAGUAAUAUUGAGUUAUGUCAACAUUGGGAAGUAUAUUAUGACAUAUUAAUUCAAGAAAGGAUUAAAUUGUAAAAGUGAGAAAAGUUUUGUUGCCCAAGAGUAAAUACUCAAAUUUUGAGGGGUUAAAGUGUAAAUACGGAAAAAUUGAAGGACCAAUAGUAUAAAUAUUUUAAGGGUGGAAUAAUCUGGAAACUAAAGAAAAUGAAUGAAUUAGGACCAAAUUGAAAAUGUGAAUUAGGACCAAAUUAAGUGAUGACUCAAGGAUGGAAUUUCAAAAGAUUAUAAAGGGCAAAAUGGUCAAAUAGAGAGAGAGAAUUCUAGAAGGUAAUGGUGAUGUUUGUGAUAUUUUUAAUUAAUUAAUUAGAUAAAUAUUAUUUAAUUAAUAUUUUAUUAAGAUUUUUAGUAUUAUUUUAUUAUUAAAUGAUUAAUAUAAAAAAAUUAUCAUCUUUUCAUGCAACCAACGUUAGAAUAGAAGAGAAGAAAGAAAGUUUUGCUUUCUUUACAAUUUUCACCUAGAAAUCAAAAGAAUUUUCAUAGCUUCCAAAAGAGAAAAAUAAUAAGGAGACAAUGGGGAGCUAGAAUGUCAAGUUAGAUUCAAGAAAUAGAAGCUGGAGGAGAGAGAAAAUCAAGUUAAAGAUUGAAAUCAAUAGCACAAAGUAAGAACAUCAAGAUUUCAAUAUAUUUUUAAGUUUGUUAUUGUUGAAAAAAGCAUGGAAAUGAUGUUAUAGUAGAUUUUUCUUAAAUAAAUUCUUAUAUUCUUGAUAUAUUAGUAAAGGGAAAUAAGUGAAAAUGAUGGGAGAUAUUAUAGAGAAAGGGAAUUAGGGAGUUAUAAACUUAGUAAUCAACAUCUUGCACUAAAACAGUUUUGGACAGCAGCAGUAGGUUAACUUUGAAAAAUCACCAUAAAUUGUGGAAAUUUAAUUAGAGAAUGAAAAAAAAUAUGGAAUUAAAGCUUAUUAAGUCUAGUUUCUUAUAGAAGAAACGGUGUAAGUAAUGAAAUUUUAAAUCAUGAGAUAUAAUAAAUUUUGUGAGACAAGGUCAGAAUGAAUUCGGGUUCCCCUGUUCUGACUUUGGAAAAUCAUAAAAAAUUGAAUAAAAAUAAUUAUGAGUUAUAAUUUAUAUGCUUAGAAUCCUUAUUGAGUAUAUUUUCAAAGGAAACAAACGGAAAUAUCAUCUGAAUUUUUUACAAUGAGAUAAUUAAUUUUUAGUGAAAAUGGGUCAAAACUGUCAAACAGUGAAAUAGGGGAAAAUUUAAAGAAUAAACUGUACUUAUUGGCUAAACCAAAAAUUCUGAAAAUCUUAUGGUAAGAAUAUAUGUGAGUCUAGUUUCAUAUGAAUUUAGCGGAUCUUAAUUUGGAGUUCCGUAUCUCAAGAUAUAAAUAAUUUAGUGACUAUAACUCAAGUGGACAACUUUGAAUUAAUAUAUAAAUAAAUGGUGGAAUUAUAGAUAAUGUUACAUAUAAGCAUAUUAUACAUUAAGGAUGUGGAAUGGAGAGGAGGAUGAAAAUAAAUGAUUAUUCAACUAGCAUGAGUUCUCAUUAAAAAUGACCAAUUUGCAUGUUUUAGGGUCAAGGACUAAAUUGAAUAAAAGUAAUAUUUUAAGGGUAAAUUGGUAAAAAUGUCAAAAAGUGACCAAAUUGCAUGAAAUGAAUUGUUUUAUUAUUUAAAUUAAUAAAUUGAAUGAAAUAUUAAUUUAUAUCAAGAUUGGGUGGAAAUUCGAGGAAAAUAGAAAAUUACCAAAAUGUCCCUGAAUUUUGGUAUUUCUGCAAUUUAGCUUGGUAAGUUCGUGUAACUUGAAUUAUGUUCAUAGAUGAUUGAAAUAUAUAUAUUGGAUUGAGAAAUUGAUUUGAAUUGUGAACAUGAGAAAUUGUAAAUUGAAUGAAAUGGAAAUGAAGCUUUGAAUUACAUGAGUAAAUAUCGGGUCUCGUAGGCCCUAUUUGUUAUGAACAUAAUAUUUCGAGGAUAUAUUGUAAAGAAUUAUAAAAGCACGUUAAUAAUUUAAAAAUUUUAAUUCGUAUGCAAAUGUAUGUCUUCUAGUAAUGCCCCGUACCCUAUUCCGGCGUCGAAUACGGGUAAAGGUUGUUACAAUGUAACAUCGCCAGAUUCGGUCAUAACGUUUAGACCGGGUUUGAGGUGUUACACAACGUUUCCCUAAUGACCUACAGUAUGUGCUCUCUAACAUACUACUUGAACUCUUCAUCUGUCACAUCAUUUGUUAGCGACUCUUCGAUCAAUGUUUGCAGCUAGGUAUGGAUAAUUCUUGAUGAAAAUCGACAUUACCUUUUCUAGAUCAAUUUAAGACUGAUCGAUUAAAACAACCCAUUCAAUUGGGAGGCCAUGAUUAGGGCUAUGUCUUUCAACGUGUGGCUUCACUGCAGUGAAAGUGGAAGUUAAAGGUCUUUGAUCUCCACAUUUCCACCGUAUCUUCAAGGAACGAUAGCUGCAUGGGAAAGUGAGGUUUUUUUAGCUACCUUAAAAAGGCAACUACUAGCAGCUACACUUUUAGUUCAUGUUGAUUCUCAUUCCAUAUUGAAAAUUCACCAUUUCAUGGAAUUCAAAUAGUUUGUUCCUCAUGCUUAGAAAUGGUAGCAAGUCGGAUAUCUUCGUUUUUUGAAUUACCUACAUCCAAGUUCACAAAUCAACCUAAAAAUCUAAAUAUGCAAAUUUUCCUAGUAUCACUAUCUAAAUUCAGAUCUGAAUUAAAUAUUAUUAUUCGUCGAAUAUCCAUAUCUACAAAAAAAAAUCUUAAAUUAAUAUUUUUAAUCAUAUGUCAGAUACCUCAGUCCUCACAAAUUCAAAUCAACAAAAUAAUAUAAAAUCAAGCAAUAAUUUAAUUUUAAAUACAAUUUAUUUAUAAUUAAAAAUUAAUAAAUGUAAACUAACAAAAGUAGAUAAUUAACAAUCCAAACAAAUUAAACAUAAAAAUUUAAAAUAAUUUAAAUAUUCCUAACAACUUAAGUAAAAUAAUUCCAAACAAAUUAAAAGUUCCACAACAAUCUACAAAAAAUUUGAAUCUAACAUUUUCAAUCAUAGGUCGGGUAUCCGAAUUCGUGAAAAUCUGAAGUUGAAUUCGCGAGAUAACAUAAAAUCAAAGGAAAAAAAGUUAAUUUUAAAUAAAAUUUAUUCAUAACAAUAAAUAAAUGGAAAUUAAAAAAAGUAGUUAAAUAACAAUCCAAAUAUAUUAAAUUUAACAAUUCACAAUAAUUUAAAUAUACCUAAUAACUUAAACACAAUAAUUUCAAACAAAUUAAAAGUUCCAUAACAAUAUCAUAUAAUAAUUAAUUACUUAUCCCUAAUUAUAUGUUGCUAAUUGUAUAUAUUAUUUAGGGUUUAAGGUUAAGUAUAAUUAAUAUAAAACUCUAGAUUAUAAAAUCAUAAUUGUAUAUAGGGUUACAUAUUAUUAAUAAUCUACCUUAAUUAUAUAAUUCUAAUUGUACAUAUUAUAAUCUACCAUAAAAUUAGUUAUAGUUUUAGGGUUUAAGGUUAUGUAUAAUUAAUAUAAAAAUAUACAUCAUAAUCAUAAUUGUAUAUAGGGUUACAUAUCAUUAAUAAUCUACCUUAAUUAUAUAAUUCUAAUUGUAUAUAUUAUAAUCUACCAUAAAAUUAGUUAUAGGUUUAGGGUUUAAGGUAACGUAUAAUUAAUAUAAAAAUAUACAUCAUAAUCAUAAUUGUAUAUAGGGUUACAUAUCAUUAAUAAUCUACCUUAAUUAUAUAAUGAUAAUUGUAUAUAUAUUAUAAUCUAUUAUAAAAUUAAUUACAUGUUUAAGGUUUAGGUUCCAUAUCAUUAAUAAAAUAAUUCACAUUAUGAUAUCAUAGUUGUAAGUAGUUAAACAUGUAUGUAUAUACUACUUUUUAUAAUAUAAUAUGUACUCAAUAUAAUUAGGCGUAUUAUAAUAUUAUUUUAAUUUAAAAUAUUAAUUAAUUUAUUGGUUUUAAGUAAUUUAAUUAAUUAAGUUGAUCAAAUAAUAAAUGGGAUAAAUACAAAUUUAAAGAUUUCGAUGAUCCUAUCUCACUGUUUAAGAGACCUAUAUACAUAUUAUAGUAUAAUGUUAAAAGAAGUUACAUGAGAUUUAAGAGAGUAAGAUGUUAAAAGAAGAAAUAAUUUUCUGCUAAAAAAUUAUUAUAUUUAAUUUUUAAAAAAAUAAUUUUAUUAUGCUUUCUAUGUUAUUUAUUAAUUUAAUUUAUAAUCUAUGUUGAAGACAAAUGAUGGUUAAAACAUAACUUUAUAUGUAAGAGGCCUUGGAUUCAACCUUGUUCUAACCAGUAGAUUCGGAUUAAAUCCGCAAUUCGAAUUGUCAUCCCUAUUCAUGCUAGUAAAUAAAAUGAAAAAAAAAGAUCAAUAAUUUAUGUUGAACAAUGUUAAAAAAUUAUUGCUAAAAUUUAAUUUUAACAACUAAUAAGUACUAACUUUAAUAAUGAAUUAAAAAAUUUACUGUAAUAUGAUUAUCUUCCCUUUAUAGAGCCACAAUAGGGUUUAAAUAUCCAAAUUUAAGAUAUCAUAUGAGAAUUUAGGGAGGUUUUAGGCUUGGGAACUCAACAAUAAUGAGAGUAAGGUUUUAGGUGUGCGAGAGAAAUGAGAGUAAAGGUUUUCAAUGCCUUUAUUAAGAUAAGAUUAACCCCAAAUGGGACAAAGUUGAACUAAUGCAACCUUUGACACCCAUGAUCGUUGAAUUUCAUUAAAUGUAUUUAUCAGGAUUAGGCUUUUCAAAUGAUUAAAAAUUUAAUUAAAGAAGACCUUGACAACUAUUCUUGUAUUAAUUAGGGUUAAAAUCCCCAUCAAUCAAUUAAAUACGAAUACAUGGAUUUAAUUUAUAAAGAACUCAAGACUCGCAGGUGUCAAGGUCUUCUUGUAGUAAUUGGGAUUAAAAUCUCUAGGAGUCAAAAUUAAAUACAGAUACAUGGAUUUAUUUUACAACUCGACAUUAAUGGUUGUCGAGGUCUGACAUUAUGUACUAGAUUCACAUUUCCUAUACUUUUCAAGAGUCUUUGGCUGAAAACUUGGCAACAUAUACGAUAAGGGAACUCAACUCCCAUGGGUGUUGAGGUACCUUUAAAAAAAAAAAACCUAGUCAAGAGUAAGCUUCAUUAAUGACCCCCUAUUUCUAAUAAAUUCACAUAUAAGCCUACCAUUUUUUUUAUUUGGGUAAAAGAGACCUACAUACAUUUAUUCUCUACUAGGUUUUAAGAAAAUCACAUAAAACCGUUUAGAAUCUAUUUACUAAGUGAAUUUUUUUAAAAAAAAUAGCAAUAUCCUUUAUUAUUUAUCAUAUAUUGUUUAUUUUAUUUUCAUUUUUAAUUAAAAUAAUAAAAUUUUAAGAUAAAAGGUCUGAAAAGCCCUUAAAAUAAAAAUAAAUUCAAUUGAGCCAUUAGGGGAAAGUACACUCAACUGAGCCCUCGGUGACAAAAAAAUCAUUUAGGCCUAUCCAUUAAUGAAAACUAUUAUUGACUAGUUUAACUAUUAAUGGACGUUGACGUGAUUGAUGGAAGCAACGAAAAGCUAACAUGUGACAUGCUAUCAAUAUACAUCACACAUAUUGUUGAUAUAAAAUACAAAAGGGGAGGAGGAUAAGAAGAAGGUCAAGGUGGUGCAAUAGAGUCCAGUUCACUUGUAAAGGUUGAGAGUCGAAACAAGGACAAGAUGACUAACUAAUUAAGAAGGAAAAUGCUUAGAGUAACUCUAAUCUGCUAAAAAAUUAAUCCUCAUUCAUAAUUUUCUAGAGUAUUUAUAGGAAAGGUCCCUUUGUCUACUGUCAUGAUAUGGUUAGAUAAACAUUCAACCUUGUUAAAUGCAAAAUGGAUAAUCACAAGCAUGUAUCAUGGAAUCCUAUCAAUAUGAGGUAGUUAAGCCUAAAUAGUCUCCUCGUUGUCUUGGGAGUGUGUUUACAUUAGGAUAACAUUCUCUUUUAAGACCGAGUGAUAGGUCUCGCUUGAAGUGGGUUGAGUGUUCGUGCUUAAAAAGUCAAUGCAGAGACAAUGAUGCCUUUUUGGCUUACCAUGUGUUUUCUUGUUGGAGGGAUAUAACAAUAUCCCCCAGUCGAGCGAGAGAUCAUAAAGUGUUUUUCAUAGACAUCAAUAAAGAAUGAGUGUUUUCAUGAGAGGUCAUAAAAUAUGGUUAAUUAAGGUCUGGGGGCUAAAUUGUAAAAGUUUAAUCGCUGUAGAUUUUUAAUUAAGAAAAGGCUUGGGGACUUAAAUAGCAAUUAUCCAAAUGACUAAAAUGGUUAAUAGACCUAUUUUAAAUGGAUGAUAGUGGGAUGUGAUUUUAAAUGUCAUUAUAUUAAGAUAAUGAAGGAUUAAUGCUUAAUUAAUCAAGAUUAGGUAAACUAAUUAAGUUUCAUUAUAAUUAAUCUAAGUAUAUAUAUAUGAAAUAUUAGUGGAAAAAGAUGAUAAACAUCAUAUUCUUCAACCUUUCAUGUCAUCCUCCAUUAAAGAAAAUCUUUAAAACCUAGUUUGAGCGUUUGACCAUUUAAUUCAAGUAAGUUCCUAGCCAUUUUUCUUUGAUUUUUAUAAACUUUUUUUUUAUCAUGGUAACUUGAUUAAGAUAACCCAUGUAUCAAAUUUUUCAAUUGGUGAGAUUUUGAUAAGUUGACAUUGUUGAGAAUAGGAUGAAGGUGUGAAAUUGAUAGAAAUUAAGCCUAGAUUAUAAAAAUGACUAAAUUGUAAAACUUAACAAGCUUGAUUGUAAGCUUUGUUAUAUUAGGGACCAAGAAUAAAAUUCAAAAAUUUUGGUAAGAAUAGAAAGUAUAAGGUCCUAAAAGAGUAAUAGUGAAAUUGAAUUUUAAUCCAAAACUUUAGAUUGAAAGCUAUGGUUGUCCUGGGUUUAGGGACUAGAUUGAAUAAAUUGCAAAAUAUACUUGAUCUUGCAUAUGAUUGUGAAUUGUAUGAAAUUUAUAGUAUUAUAUGUUUUGUGGCUAUACGUAGCUAACGUCGAUGCUGAGCCUUCGAGAGGGAAAGAAAAAGAGAGAGUUAUUGACAAGUGAAUCGAUACCAUAAUUUGUACUUUUAUAAUUUGGGAUAGAUUAAUUGCUUGCCUAUAUGUGUUAAUUAGAUGAUUGGAUGUCAAGGUGAGUACAUGGUGAUAUUGUGAAUGGUUUUGAUUUGGUUUGAUAUAGAAUAUCGAUAUAGGGGACUAAAAUGAAUAAGAUAGGAAAUGUCAUGAAUUAAGUAGAACAUGAUAUAUAAUAUGGAAAUUGGAUUGAAAUUUGUCAUUACUAUGAAAUAUAUGUGUUUGAUGAUGAAAUGAGAAUUGCGAUUAUGAAAAUGACAUGAGAUAUAAUAUGUAUUGAUAAUGAUAUAUAUUGAAUUAUAAAAUGAAAUUGAAUAUUGGUACCCUAUUAGUUGUUCAGGUUGUGUCGGGUAUAGUUGGCAUGCCAUAGGAUCGGUUUGUGUAUAGGUUAUACGUUUAUGCGCGAAGAUACACUUCGUGUGCCAAGAUACACUUCGUACGACAGGAUGCACUUCGUGCGCCAGGAUGCACCUCGUGUGCCUGUAUGUGCUUUAUGCACCAAGAUGCGCUUCAUGUGCCAAUAUGCACUUAUGUACCAGUUUCCCUACUAAGAUUUAUCUAAUGAUGCACUUCGAUGCUAGUUUGGUGUGUUGGUUGGACGAUCCAUGUAUCUAUCCAAGUCCAAGUCAUGUUAAUAGGGGUUAUAAAUGGUAAUCGUGGUAAAUAGUAUUGGAAUGAAAUGGUAUGAUGGUAUGUGACUAAAUAUGUGCAUAUAUGAGCUUGAUAAAUAAAUUUUAUAUCUUAUUGUGCAAAUCAAUUGAAAAUGAGCCCUGGGGACCAAAACGAAUGUGGAUGAGUCGAUAGACUUCAAAAUUGAGUUUGAAUGGUGAGACAACAAGGUAAAUGAUAUGAGCAUAAUGGAACACAAGUGGCAUAAUGUUAAUGGCAUAUAAAGAUAUGUGAUUAUAUGAUUGAUAAUGAUAACUAAUAAGGUAUGAGAAAUGGUAAUUGUCAAAUGGUAUGCAUAGAUAACUUGUUUUGUAUAUAUUGAUGAAUGAAUUGGUUAUUUGCCUCAUUAAUGUACUCACUUGCAUCUAAGAUGUGAAAUUGUUUUGUUAGAUAUAAUAUAACUUGAUUAGUUAUGUAAUUUUGUUAUAAAUUACCAUUUGUAAAUGUUUGUGUUAUCUUGAAUCAUGAAAGUACCACUGAGCCCUAUCCCUCAACAUACGGUUUGUUUAUUCUGUGAGCAGGUACAAGUAUAGCUCCUUUUUAGUUUGUCAAUGACAUGUACCUAAGAAUAGUUGGUCUCAAAGUCUAAAUGGUUAACAUGGUUGUAUAAAAGUUUUCAUUUAUAUGAAACUGGUUUUAGUCAUGUAUAUAAAUGUUGUUAAUGUUGGAUCCGAAAUCCUAAGUGUAGUAUAUUCGUUUGUAAAUUUUUAAUUUUUCGAACAAAUUAGUUAAUUAAAUAAUUCAUGGAUUACAUUAUUAUUCUUUGUAUAAUGUCCUCAUGUGAUUUUUGCAUGUAAAGCAAAAUAGAAGCAAAUGCUAACUCAUCGAUUGUUUAAUGUUUAACUAAUAUUAAGCGGUAUUACGUGGUUGGAUCAUAAUAUAGAAAGACAAUUUAUAUUAGUAGAUGAACCUAAACAUGUCCUUAGUCUAAUCAGAAAUGAGAAAAUUGAUUGAAAGAAUAAUAUUCCAUCUAUCUAAUCCAAUUGGGGGAUGUCUUGUCUUAGGCAUCAGAGCGGAUGAAUCCCAAAAGAUAGAGACAUAAAUGUGGCUGACUAGACUGACAAUACAUCAGACUGGACCUAAAAAGAAUAGAUUUUGAAUCUGUUUAUGGAUUUAUUCACUUGUGAUGUUCAAAGUGUGGCAUACUUUAAUCCUGAGUGGAUAAUGAUCUAUGUAUGUGUGACUCGUAUACUUUGAUGUAAGUAAAAGCCUGAGUUCAAAUAAAUAAGGAACUGAAAGCUAGCGUGUUAGGUAUAUAGCUUCUACAUUAUGUAGCAUCAUUCUCAAUAGUGGAAUUCAUAGCCCAAAACAUUGGUUAAUGAUAUCCUAUAAUUGGAAUUACAUGAUAGAUGAAAAGUAAACAUUGGUUGUUCGUAUUUGUGAUAAAUGACUUAAUUACUAUUUGAUAGUAAUUGACUUUUCAUAAGGGAAAGAUGUAAUGGUUUCCAUAAGAUAAAAUAGGAUCGUAUGGCCAAAAACACUUGGAUUGCUAGAGCAUCAGAAACACCCUUGGUUAUCAUAGUUGCAGCAUUAAACCUUUUCAUGAAAUCACGAAAGGGUUCAUUCUCUUUUUAUCAGAACAUGAGGUAUGUCGAGGAUUGUUGUGGUGUUUUGUUGGCCAAAAAUCUACUCAUGAAUAACUUAGCCAACUAGUUGAAAUUACUUAUAGACUUUCAAAAAAGUAAGAGGUACCACUAUCAGGCGAUGCUAGAAAGGUUCAUAGAGAAAGCCUUGCAUUUCACAACGUCUGAAGCUCCAAGAAUGUCCAUAUGUUUGUUGUAGUGUGAUAGGUGAACUUUCGGGUCUCCAGUACCAGUGUAAGCCAACUUAAGAAACUUAAAAGAGGCAUACAAGUUAUACGUCAAGGCAAAAGGGGCUAAGGGCUUAUUAUUGUAGCUCUAAGAGACUUCAUCGGGCUUACAACCUUUAACCUCCUAUAAAAAUUCAAAUCUAAGUGCUACAAUUGUCUCCUCAAUAGGAAUAGCCUUAUUUCAGAGCUCCCACUUCGCAUAAAGGUCUUGCAACACCUUAUUAUCAUUUUGAUUCUUCUUUUCUAUACGAACGAUGGAUUAUGCAGUACAUUUUGACUCUAGCGGGAUAGGUAAAUUUCCACCUUUUAUUGCGUCCUUGGUUGCCCAUAGCUCUACAAUCAUCUAUUUAUUAAGAGCAUUUUGUUGAUAAGUGUUGACGUUCUUGUUCUUCUUGGAAUUAGCAUUGUUAAGCCAAGAUUUGUUCUUCCAUGUGAUGCAUUUUUCGUGGAUCUCAAGAACAUGAUGUUAAGGAUCUGAGAUUUGUUACUAUUAGGAAACUUUGUUUAGGGAAUAACUGUGGUAGUGGGUUGAGUUUGUAGGGUUAAGCAAGAGAGGAUUUGUUUUAAGUGAUUAUUUUUGGGGCCUUGUGAUAUGGCAAAGAAAUAUGGUGUGUUAGGAAUUUAAGGUAAGGCCAUAGUGGCAGGGUUAACCGAAGGAGUGUUAAAGGCUUUCAAGAGUUGGGAAAGGGUUUCCAUGGUGGUCAUUGCUGAACGAGAUGACAUUUUGGUUUGAUUUGGGGGAAGUUUAGUAUUGACAACGUCAUUCUCAUUUAUUGGAGUGGAGGAAUUAGCAGGGUUGGCGUUGUUGUUUUUGUUAUUAGGCUAUUCCAACUCUCCCCCUUAAAGAAUUUUCGUCCUCGAAAAUCUUACCAGUAAAGAGGUUCGGAUAUUGCUUUCUCAUUGUUUCCUUCGGUUUCCAGGUAGCUUCUUCUAUCAUUGUCAUUGCCAAAUAACUUUUACAAAAGCUACCCUUUUACUUUUUAACUCUUUUGUUUCAUGUGCCAGAAUUUUAAUAGGUUCCUCACUGUAAGUCAUGUCAGAGUGAAUCUCAACUUCUGUCAAAGAAAUGACAUGUGAAGGAUCUGACUGAUACCGUCGCAACAUAGACACGUGGAAAAUAUUAUGAAUUUUGUCAAGUUCUGGUGGUAAUGCUAAUCAAUAUGCAACAAGUCUAAUUCUUUUAAUGAUCUCAUAUGGUCCGAUGAAUAAUGGACCUAGUUUUCCUUUACGGCCAAAUAAAAGAACUUUUUUUCCAAGGUGAUGCUUUCAAGAAUACCGUGUCACCAACUUGGAAUUCUAUCUCUUUCUAUUUAAGGCCAGCAUAAGAUUUUUGACAAUCAGAGGCUGCCUUCAAACUAUCACGAACCACUUUCACCUUUUCUUCAGUCUCACGGAUUAUACCUUCAAAUUCUAUCACGCAAUAUCGAAACAUAUCUUCUAGAAUCUGUAUCACACGUUCAGGUUGACCAUCAGUCUGAGGAUGAAAUGCGGUACUGAAAUGUAAUUGUGUACCCAGAGCUUCUUGUAAUUUGUUCCAGAAUCGGGAUGUAAAUCGAGGAUCCUUGUCUGAAAUAAUGGAGAUCGGCACUCCAUGUAGCCUGACAAUCUCAGAAACUUAUACCUCUGCUAAUUUGUCUAGGGAAAGAAUCCAUAUGUACUGAAAUAAAGUGUGCAGACUUCGUUAAACGGUCAACUAUUACCCAGAUGGCAUCAUUUUUUCUCGGAGAUAGGGGUAACCCUGACACAAAGUUCAUAGUAACUCUUUCCCAUUUCCAUUUCGGUAUCGUUAGUGGCUGUAAUAAUCCCAAAAGUACCUGAUGUUCAGCUUUAACUUGCUGACAUAUCAAACAUCUAGAUACAAAUUCAAAAAUAUCCCGUUUCAUUUCUAGCCACUAGUACAUCUUUUUCAAAUCAUGGUACAUUUUGUUACUCCCCGGAUGAAUAGAAAUAAUACCAUUAUGAGCUUCGUUUAAUAUCUUCUGUACAAGUUCUAAAUUCUUCGGUACACAAAUUUUGCCUCUGUAUAACAGACAAUCAUCAGACCCAAUCUAAAAUUCUGAAUUAGAGUUUGACUCACAUUGUACCCUUUUAGCUUGUAAUAUAUCAUCAUUUUUCUGAGCUUCACAAAUCUACUGUAGAAAUGUCGGUUUAGCUUUUAACUCAGCUAUGAUUGAACCAUCAUCUGACAAUGACAAUUGGGUAUUCAAUGCUCGCAAGGCAAACAAAGAUUUUCUACUCAGAGCAUCUGCAACCACAUUGGCUUUUCCCAGAUGAUAAUUGAUAACCAGAUCAUAAUCUUUCAAUAAUUCAAGCCAUCUGCGCUGUCUCAAAUUUAAAUCCUUUUGCGACAUCAAAUACUUUAAACUUUUGUGAUCAGUGAAUAUAUGAUAUUUUUCACCAAGCAGAUAAUGUCGUCAAAUUUCAAUGCAAACACAAUGGCUGCCAAUUCUAGAUCAUGUACCAGGUAGUUCUUUUCAUGUGGUUUUAGUUGUCUAGAAGCAUGGGCUAUUACUUUAUCUUCUUGCACCAAGACACAGUCUAAACCAUUCAAUGAUGCAUCAUUGUAAAUUACAAAUUCUUUACCCGAUUCAGGCUGAACUAGUACGGGUGGUUCAGUCAACAAGGCUUUCAAUUUGUCAAAACUUUGCUAGCAUUUAUCAGAUCACUCAAAUUUCACAUCUUUCUAUAACAAAAGUGUCAUCGGAGAGGCUAUUAUCAAAAACCCUUUUACAAACCUCCGAUAAUAUCUAGCUAAUCCUAGAAAACAUCUUACUUCAGACACAUUUUUAGGUGGUUUCCAAUUAACAAUUGUUGAAAUUUUACUCGGGUCAACUCUAAUACACUUAGCAAAUACUAUAUGUCCAAGAAAACCAACUUCCUGAAGCCAAAAUUCACAUUUACUAAAUUUGGCAUACAAUUGUUUCUCAUGCAAAGUUUGCAGAACAAUUCUCAAAUGAUCAGUAUGUUCAUUUUCAUCUCGGGAAUAUACAAGAAUAUCAUCAAUAAAUACCACCACAAAUCUAUCCAAAUAUGGUCUGAAAAUUCUUUUCAUUAAAUCCACAAAUACCGCAGGUGAAUUCGUCAAACCAAACGGCAUUACAAGAAACUCAUAGUGUUGGUUCUGAAGGCUAUCUUUGGCACAUCUGACUCUUUCACCCGUAGCUGAUAGUAACCGGAGUGAAGAUCAAUUUUUGAAAAUACAGUGGCACCUUUUAGCUAAUCAAAAAAAUCAUCAAUACGAGGAAAUAGAUACUUGUUCUUUAUUGUGACUUUGUUGAGUUUCUGAUAAUCAAUGCAUAGUCUCAAAGAUCCAUCUUUCUUCUUAACAAAUAAAACCGAUGCACCCCACAGUGAAAAACUAGGUCGAGCAAAACCUCUGUCAGUCAAUUAUUGCAAUUGUGCUUUCAACUCCUUUAAUUCAAUAGGAGUCAUUCUGUAAGGUGCUAUAGAUAUUGGUGUUGUCCCCGGUAUAAGAUUUAUAGAAAAUUCCACUUCUCUGGCCGGCGGUAAUCCGGGUAAUUCCUUCAAAAACACGUCAAGAAAUUCAUAAACAACCAGCACUAACUUAAUCUUCGAUUCAAAUACUUUAGUGUCCAACAUAUAUGAAAGAUAUGCAUUAUACCCUUGUCUGAUAUAUUUUUGUGCUGAUAUAGCUGAAAUCACAUUAGACAGCCCAUCCAAUUUAUCAGAUUCGACACAGAGCAAUUUACCAUUCUGACAUUUUAACACAAUAGACUUCUAUUUACAAUUUACCACUGCAUCAUGUUGAGUUAACUAGUCCAUACCUAGAAUUACAUCAAAUUCAUCAAAUGGCAACAACAUCAAAUUAGCCGAGAAACAACAACCCCGUACCAUUAACGGAUAAUUUUUCUAAACUUUAUCCACCACCACAUACUGGUCCAGAGGGUUUGAAACUUUAAUCACAAAUUCAGUGGAUUCAACAGAUAAAUUUUUAAUAAAUGCUAAAUUCGUGCAAAUGUAUGAAUGUGUUGAACCAGGAUCAAUCAAAGUAGUAAUAUUAGUAUCAAGAAGAGAAAAAGUACCAGUAAUGACAUCGGGUGCAGAGGCAUCCUCUCUUGCACGAAUAAUAUAUGUUCUUGCUGGUGCUCGUACUUCAGAUUUAGCAGUUGAAUCUUUUCUUGUACCUCGGUUAUCAUUCCUAUUAUCGGGGUUACGAGGUGGUCUACCUCUCAAGGCAGGGUCGCCCUUGAAGUCUGAACAGUAUCUUUUUCAAUUCUUUUCGGGCGAUCUUUGAGAUAGUGGUCAAGAGAACCACAUCUAAAACAGGCUCCGCUUCUCAUACGGCACUCACUGAAAUGCCAUUUAUUACAAUUUUUACAUCUGGGUUUGGGAUUUCCAACACUUCCAGCACUUGCCACUGACGAGACAGGAGAUCUCGGAUUAGAGCAUUGAGUACCUCGGUCUUUUCCAGAAUACCCCACAAAUGUGACUAAACGAUCAUUAUAUUUCUUUGAUUUAUUUGAGGCCGACGGUUGUGACUUUCCCAUAAAUAUUUUACUCAAGGUUCAAGCUUCCAUCUCUGUCUGUCUAUUUUCUUUACUUAAUUCUUCAACUUUAUGUGCUCGACCAACCAGUACCACAAAUUAUUUUAGUUUUAGAUUCCCAACUAAUAGCUUAAUAUCUUCAUUUAAUCCCUCUUCAAACCGUUUGCACAUAGCAACUUCAGUCGGGAUACAUUCUCUAGCAUAUUUGCUUAAUCUGACAAAUUCUUGCUUGUAUUCAAAUACAGUCAUAUUCCCCUGUUUGAGCUCUAAAAAUUCUUUCCUUUUCUGAUUAAGGAAUCUCUUGCUAAUAUACUUCUUUUUAAAUUUAUUUUGGAAAAAUUCCCAUGUGAUGCUCUCCCUCGGUAUAACAGAAAUCAGAGUAUUCCACCACUGAUAAGCCGAAUCUUUUAACAAAGAUACAACACAUUUCAAACAUUCAUCAGGUGUGCAAGACAAUUCAUCCAAAACCCUGACGGUAUUUUCUAACCAGAAUUCAGCUCUUUCUGGAUCAUCUUUAGUAGUAGCCUUAAAUUCUUCUGCCCCAUAUUUACGAAUUUUAUCUACCAGGGGCUUACCAGUUCUAACAGAUUCAACACCUUGUGGCAUAUCAAAAACCAGUUGAGGAGCAGGAUGGGGAGGUUGUUGUACAGCAGGAUUUGUUCUCAAAUAUUCAGUGAAUCAUUCAUUCAUCAUUUGAAAGAAGGAUUCUUUAACCUCCUCACCUCAGCCCUCACAUACGGGCCUUCUACUACUUGAAACAGCUCUUUGAACUGAACCUUGAGCAUUGCUGUCAGCUUUCUUGGAUUCACCUCGGUUGGACGACAUUACUAUAUAAAAAACAUGUUUAAAAUGGUCAGGAGAUAUCACAUUAUCACAUAUUUUAUAAUGACAUGUGUAGCUAAACUCGUACUUGCUACGUUAGUCCGAGAAUCGGGUAAAUCGUAGCUCUGAUAUCAAUUAAUGUGACACCCCUAAGCCAUAUCUGUCGCUGGAACAGGGUUGCGGAGAAUUACUGGAGUUUAGAGAAUAAAUACAAUUAAUUCAUGUUAUUUACUAUUCAUAUCCAAAAUCAAUCAUAUUCAAUCAUACUGUCCCUUAAAUGAACCCUCGAGGUCCAAUUUAUGCAUUUGAAACAAGUCGGGACUAAAUCGGGAACUCAGAGAAUUUUUUACAAAAUUUCAAAAUUUUUGUCUAGGUACAGGGGACACACGCCCGUGUGGCCAGGAAAUGACAUGCCCAUGUCCCAGGCCAUGUGGGCAUUUGAUGUGAGGCACACGGCUGUGUCCUAGCCCAUGUUCAUACCCGUGUACUCUCUGACUUGGGUCACACGGCCAGCCACAAGCCCGUGUGCUAGGCCGUGUGGACAAUUUAAUUUUCAAAAAUUAUGUGCAGGAGUCACACGGCCAAGUCACACGCCCGUGUGCUAGGCCAUGUGACACACACGACUGAGACACAUGCCCGUUUCUCUGCUUGUGUGAGCAAUUCAAAAUAUUUUAUUUCUCAAAUUUAAAGAUGCAGGGGACACAUGGCCAAACCACACGCCCGUGUGCAUGGUUGUAUGUCAUACACGGUUGAGACACACACCCGUGUCUCUGACCGUGUGGAAAAAAUAAGUCUAUUUCAAGCCUUAUUGCUCCACCAACCUGGCAUCAAUCUAUCCAACCAAUUUUUGUACCAUUACAAGUCACAAUAAGACCUUCAAUUCAAACAAGUUUCAAGUUCAUUACAUGUCAUAACAUCUAAUUUAUCCAAAUAUUUAAUCUUACCUAAUUGGCCACAUAAACAUAUAAGUAUAUUUUACCCAUUCAUGCAACCAUUAAUAUAUUCAUGUAACUCCCAUCAUUCAACCAUUUCAAUAAACACAUCAAGCAUGAUAAGGCCUUAUAUAACUACAUCAAAAUAUGCUUAACACUAGCCAUUCCAUUGGAUAGUUACAACCAUAAUAUUCCAUCAUUAUGCCAAACGUAGCUUAUACCAAGAGUUAGCUUGCUUUAUAUACUGAGAAAUCCGAGGGAUAGUGUGAUGUGUCUCCGACUAAGUUCCAACCUUCACGAGCUUCUGAGUACUAUAAAACAGAGGAAAGAAAAACCAAGUAAGCAUUCAAUGCUUAGUAAGUUCAUAUAACUGGAAAUUUAACUUACCAUUUAUUUUCAUUAAAAUAAUCAUAUAAAUGACAUCCAAACAAUUUGGAUAAAAACCUAAAACACAACUUCACUGAUCAUGUUAGUCAAGUAAUUCACAUAAAUACCAAGAACAUGAAUAAGCUCGUCAUGUAAUAACUUUCAUAUAAAUAUGCUUUUCAUAUCAUAUUCUCAUAUAACAUUUACAUUUCCAUGACAAAUCAUUUCAAAUGUCAGAACUUUUCCCAUGGAAUUUAUUUGAAAUAACGAUAGAUACACAUGUAGUACACUCGAAGUGUACAAAACUGUAAUUCGUCAAUUCAUAUUCAGGGGCACUCAUUAGAGCACAUAAUCAGGAAACACUCUCUCUUGAGCCAUAUAUCAGGAAACUCGUGUGAGCCAUAUAACAGGAAUAUUAUCUGGGCUUAAUAACAUGAAACUCAUAAGAGUUUAAAAUAGAAAGCUUAUGUGAGCUUAACAAGUAACUCUGAAGAGCUAUUAUCAGGAAGCUCUAAAUAGCCAUAUAUCAGGAAGUUCAAGCGAGCCAUAUCAGGAAGCUCAUAAAGAGCUUAUAUCGGGAUGCUCAUAAAGAGCUGCGAUAUGUCCGCAAUACAUACAAGAUCAAUAUCGGUCAUAUAGUAGGACGCUCACAAAGAGCUGCGGUAUAUCCGCAACACAUGCAGGAUCAAUACCGAUCAGGAUGCUCGCAAGAACCAUGUAAUAGGAAGCUCGAGAGGGCUUAUAACAGGAUGCUCAUAAAAGCUAUGGUGUGUUCGCAGCAUAUGCAAGACCACAACCAAUACGGGAAAUCCUUUAUCGAGUUUCAUUUAUUCAAACGAGACUUAUUACUUAUCGGGCAUUAUCUAACAUGUGAUCAAUUUCAUACAUAAGACAUUUAUACAAUUCACUUACAACAUUCAAUUCAAACAUAUUAAUAUACAUAAUUUAGUUACACGAACUUACCUCGUCACUUGCUCGUAUACGGAAAUCUACUAAUCCGAUACUUUUUCUUUUCCUCGAUCUAACUCCUUAUUUGAUCUUUUCAGAUUUAUAUAAAUGAAUUUAACAUCAAUUUAACACAUUUCAUAUUCAAUUCAAUCCAACUUACAUCUUAGGUAUAAGUACCAUUUUUCUCUUAUACUUUUAAUUAAUUCCAAUUUCGUCCCUAGGCUCGGAAAAUGAAAUUCAUGCAAUUUAAUCCUUAUUCCAAGCCUAGCCUAAUUUUUCAUAUAACAAUAUAAAUCCAUGUAUUUCACAAAAAGAAAAAGAAAUUUUCCAUGAAUUUUACAUCUUUUUAACUUAGUCCCUCAAUCAUAAUUUCAUGAAAAUUUCAUUUACAAAAGUUGUUUAUCUAUCAACAACCUUUCAUUUUCUACCAUAAAUUUCAAAAUUUCAGCAUACUCAUCCAUGGAAAAAUUUUAAUACUUUAAUAACUUUCAAAUUGAUCCCUAAAAUAGAUAGAUUCUCUAAAAUAUAAAAAUUACUAAAAACGGGACAAUAAUUCAUACCUAAUUGAACCAAAACAACUUCAUUGAGCUCACUUUCUCUUAGCUAAGGUUUCCAUGUAUUUUAGUUUGGGAAAGAUGAUGGAAUAAGAUGAUAUUAGUUUAUUAUCAUCUUUAAUUAUUUCAAUUUCCAAUUUAGUCCUUUUAUUUUUCUAAUUUCCAUGGAUGAAUCUUCAUAAAUAUCUGUUAACUUCUCUUAAUGGUUUACUUGCCAUAUAAGGACCUCAAAUUUUGAAUUCCAUAGCUAUUUGAUCCUUUUAGCUACUAGAACUCAACUUUUUCGUUUUAUACAAUUUGGUCCUUUCUAUUGAAUUAAACAUAUAAUCGGUAAAUUUUCAUAACAAAAUUUUCAUAUGUAUUUCCUAUCAUAAUGCAGACCAUGCAAUAAUAUUAAAAUAAUUUUUCUUUCUAACUUGGAUUUGUGGUCCCAAAACCACUGUUCUGAUUUCACUGAAAACGGGUUGUUACAUUCUUCCACCUUGGAAUAACAUCAUUCAAUUGUUCAUAGAGGCCUCGAUUCAAUAGAACGAGCUGAGAAGAAGAGGAGCGCACUAGUCUAGCUUCAGAGAAAUUUUGGAUUUGCUUGCUAGUUCCCUUCUCUUUAAUUAUCUUAUUUAUGUUGUGAUAAUGAAUAUGAAUAAUUUUUUUGUUGUUUUUGUUGUUGUUCUAAUUAAAAUGGCUUAAAUUAAUUCGUGUUAGAUUGGUUGCAUUCUGUCCACUUGAAUUAUUAAAAUCAUAUUUGUGUUAUUACAGGCCUUGGUGACUUGUUCAAUUAAAAAAAAUCAUGUUUAUGUUGUACUUGCAUUAUAAAAUGUAAGGUAACGAAUGAAUUAAUUAGUAAACAUAUUUAAAUUAUAAUUCAUUGACACAGUAUUUAAUUGGUGCAUGUUUAAUCUUCUAAGGCAGCUGAAGGUUAAAUUAGCGACGGUAUUAAACGAUACAUUAGCCUUGCAUAACUUGCAAGAUUAUUGUGAUUAAACUAUUUCAAUAUAGAAACAUAUUGUUACCUCACUUAAUCUUCUAUGUUCUUAUGAAGAUUUAUUAACUGUUUGAAUUGGAAUUGAAAAAUGUUCAAGAAAUUAGUUAAUUUAGUAAGUACGUAUGAGCAGUAGUUAGCAAAUUACCAAGUUGCCGUGAAAAUAUUUGUAACAAUAUGAACAUGGGUUUAGUAAUUCUAAGUUGAGGAAUGUAAUUGAUCUAACACAAUUAUGUCAUCUUGAUUAAAACCAUCUUUUGAAAUCAUGCAUUGAAAUUUUUAUUUUAUUUUAUUUUACUUAAUUAAAUUAUAGUUUUUAAUCACUUCCUCAAAACCAAAAUAUUUUUAAUCACCAAAGUGUUUGAUUUACAUUUCAUAAAUAUUUUUCUUUCACAAUCCUUGUGGGUAUGAUAACUCGACAUUUACUUGUCACUUUAUUACUUGUUGCGAUUGUGAACACUUGCACAUUUUUGUCGUUCCAAAGGGUCAAGGAGGAUUUAGUGGGAAGAUUACAGGCCCACUCAGUUUCCAACACGUCCAUGACCUUGGGCAUUAUCUUUCUAGUUGGGAGGCUAAUAAACUCUCUUUCACCGAAGGGUCACAAUCGGCCCUUCUAUCCGUUCCUAGCUACCUCAUGCAGUCUUUAAUAGUCCGAAAAGGUGUUUGUGAUGAAAUUGAAGGCUUGAUGAGGCAUUUUAUUUGGGGUUCUUUUGGUGGUAGUAAGAAAAUGACUUUAGUGAGUUAGGAUGCUAUUUGUCAACCUAAAUCGUGUGGGGGUUUGGGUUACGACAUCUUAGUGACCAGAAUUCAACAUUCAUGAUGAAACUUACUUUUCAUCUCGUCACUAAAACUGAUGCCUUGUAGGUUCAAGUUCUUAGAGGAAAGCAUGGGGUAAAUGACAGAGUACCGGAAUGUAUCUCGUGGAGUAGAAGCUCUUUUUUGUGGAAAUCUAUCUCUAAGGUAUGUCCCCUACUACAUGAUAAUUUGAUAUUGUCUGUUGGAAAUAGAAACAAUGUACGUUGUUGGGUGGAUGCAUGGGUUCCUAAUGUGGGACCUUUAUCCAAACUUCUGCACAUGUGAACGUCAACCUGGAAUGCAAAUUGAGUGAAAUGGUUACGGAGAAUGAUGCUUGAAACCUUGAACGUUUUCGUGUUUUUCUAUCAGAGGAUGUUAUUCAACACAUCAUUAGCAUCCCACCACCUUUAGUCUCUGCAGGCCCAGAUUCAAUCUCUUGGUCUCGCUCUACAGCUGGUUGUUUCUCUGUCCAAAGUGCUUAUUGGAUGAUGAAUGAAGCAUCAUGGAACCCUAAAGAUAUAGUUUGGAAUAUUGUAUGGAAAUUUCCACGUCCUCAGAGAGUAAGGCACUUCUUUUUCAUUGUCCUCAAACAAUGACUCCAUACUAACAUUGAGAGAGUCCAAAGGAAAAUUAGCUAGGAUUAAUUAUUGUAACACCUCAUACUCGGCCUAGACUUUAAGACCAAGUUUGGAGAGCUACAUCAAAUACUUUCAGAAAAAUCAAACCUUUAACCAUUCAAAGUUCAACAGUCGAAAAUCAUUUAAAUAGUUAAACCAAACCUGAAAAUCCAAACUUAUAACCAAUCAUUCGAAAUAAAACAGGCGAUAAUAGACUAAAUGAUCGAGCUCUUAUCAUACCGACUCGCCUAAGCCUAUGGGUUAUCUGUAAUCCAAAAAAUAGACUAAAUGAGUCUACAACUCAGUGUGUAACUUACACUUAUUAUUAAUCAGUAACAUAAAAGAUGUGAUUUCAGUUUUCAUUAACUAGUCAACUCUUGUAUUCAGAUACAGAAACAGAAAUAGAAUACAUCAGAUAUAGUUGUAGAACAUUUCAUAUUUAGAUACAGAUUAUUAACCCCAACUGUUACACACCAUCUUCGUCCAUCCCUAUACACCAUAUAGUGACUGUGUGUCAUGAUUCAAAAUAAUUGCACUAUAGCUGCUAGAUCAUAACACAAUAAAUCGCCAAAUUCAGAUAUAUGUUUAUUGCUUAGCCACAAAAUUCGGUAGAUUAUUAAACUGCCCACACUUCCUCCUUUUCACAAUCCCAACCCAAUGCAGAUGUAGAUUUAACAGAUAUCAAAUAUGCCUAUACAGUAGUACAAAUUCAGAUCAAGCUCAUAUUAAGCUAUCACAUUUACAUAUCAGAUUUCAUAUCUAAUGUUUACAUGAAAAUAACAAAUUAUUCAGUAACAGAUCAUCAAAUGAUGGUUACAUUGUCCAAUUCAGAUAAAUUGGACCCUACAGUAAGCUUACGUUCGAUUUGAACAACGAUUAUGGCCCUAAGGAAAAAUUUUGAUUUUUGGCACACACGUCCUUAUGGAUUCACACGGCUUGGGUGGCUGGCCUAUGUAGUUCACAUGGCUGUGUGGCUCAAAACAGUGAGGUACACAGUCUAGACACACGCCCUUGUCUCUGGCUCGUGUAUCCCUAAUUUUAAAACAGUGAGUUACACAGCUUGAACACACGCCUAUGUCUUUAACUCGUGUGCCUCUAAUUCCAAAAUAGUGAGUUACACAGCCUAUCACAUGACCCGACACACAGCCAUGUGGCAUCGACAGCUACGUUUUUCGGCCUCUUUCAUUCUCAAGAUUUUGGGUUUUCAUUACACACCUGGUAUAGUUUUGACGUAGAAGCAACAGAGAAGACCCCAAAACCUAAAAACAAAAACCAAUUGUCCCAUCCAUAGAAAUUAACCGAGUCAAAAUGCUAAAUUAACCAAUAAUUCAAAUUACGUUGAAAACUUCGACGCACAAAUUCUAAAACGAAAAUUAUUUGCUUACCAACAAAGAACAGUAACUAAUCGAAACUAAAGUGUUGGAGGAAUGCUCCCCUUGAUAUUCUCGCCUAAAAUAACAAACCAAUUGAGUGAUUAACGGAGAACUUGGAACAAUUGGCAGUAUUAUUCAACCAUAACGAGAGCAAAUGAAAUUUAGUGAAAAUAGAGGAAACAACGACAUCACUUACACUAAUAAUCUUUCAAUUGAACAAAGACAAACGCAAACUCCUCGAUUGUACUUGUCGCAAGACAUAGAGUCAAGCAAAAAGAAAAAAGAACAUAGAGAAAAAGAGGAAACGAUAUUGAAGAAAGAAGAAAGAAAGGAAAAGAAGAAAAAGGAAAAGGAAAAAACGUAAAAAAAAAAGGAAAAAGGAAACAAUUUGAUAAUUUAAAAUAACUAAUUUUUCUUAUAAAUUAGUAAAAGCAAUACGUUCCCUUCUCGCUUAUGUAGAGACUCAAACACAAGACCACAAAGUAUAUAGAAUUUUAACCAUUGAACCAGUAGGCUUAUUCUUGAUAAAAGUUAACGGAGAAUUAAACUUAAGUCUAGAGUUCAAGGAUAUGGGUUAAACCAAAAUAAACAAUAAAAAUUCAAGAAGGGAGACUCAAACCCCUAAUCUCAAACACAUAAAUAGAACAUUUAACCACAUAUACAAAGACUUAAUUAUUGAUAGAAUUUAUCAAACAAAUGUUCAAAAUUUGGGGCGUUACAAUCAUUCUCCAUUUGUUGACAUUAAUAUGAAUAUGCUUUACAUGUGCUUAGAGACUGCCCAUUCGUAAAGGAUGUUUGGCUACAAGUUAUUCCUCAAGGAAAGCAGCGUAUUUUUUUCUCAAGCAACCUAACAGAAUGAGUGAUCUCGAACUUAGAGGACCAUUAUGCCGAAACUCGAGGGAUACUAGUUGGGCCUGCUUCUUCGGAUUAUUAGUGUGGCGCCUUUGGAAAAAUAGAAAUUUUUCUAUUGUCCAAGGGAUUUCUAUGGAUUCAAAUGAAAUUAUCAAAGUGUCUUUUAGUUGGGCCAAUCAAUUUUUCUCAAUUUUUACAGUCAUGUUGAAGAUGAAUUCUAUCUCCAUCUGUGUGCCCUCUUUCCUAGGUACGUGCGUUUACCUCAAUACUAAUGGUGCUAUUAAGACGAACAAUGGUUUAUCUGCUGCAGGUGAUAUGAUUCGAGACGAAAUGGGGAAGUGGAUAUUACGCUACAAUCGGUUCCUAAGGAAGUCUUCAAUUUUUGUUGCCGAGUUAUGGAGAAUUUUGGAUGGUUUGCUCCUGCUUCAAAAGCAAGGGCAUGGUACUUAUUCUAUCAGAUAAUCUAGAGGUAGUCAAAGUCAUUUGUGACCAAAAUUCAAUUGAAUCAAGUAUCUCUCUCGUUAGGAUAAUUCAACAUAUUUUAUCUCAAUAAGAAAGCUUGUUCAUAUGACACAUUCGUAGAAAGGAUAAUCAGGCAGCAGAUACUCUAGCUAAAAUUGCCUUUGCAAACUAGGAAGAAAACCUCGUCAUUGGAAAGUCAAGAAACUUUAGAAGAGGAUAUUGCUAGGGGUACUUUAUUCCUAGUUCUAUUUUGUAAUCUCUUGAUAUUUCUUUAGACUAUUUUUUCACCAAAAAAAAAUAGAGUUAUUACUUGAAUACAAUUCUAAGUAUAUUAAUUAUCACAUAAUUAAUAUUAAACUUAUAAAUUUAUUACUUGAAUAAAUAUCUAAGCAUAAAAUAUAAUAAAAUUUGUAAUAAUUAUAAUUUAAUUUAAUUUAAAAUUAUUAGUUAAAAAUUUGACGUAAAAAAUGUUAUGUUACUUUCUUUUUAAAUUGCACUAAGUUUAUUGAUGUAAAAUAGAGUUAUUAUUUGAAUAGAACUACAAGUAUCUUAAUUAUCACUUAAUUAAUAUUAGAGUUAUAUACCAAUUAAAAUUAAAAUUUAGCUUUAUAAAUAGCAUUCAAUAAUUAGAAAUAAUCAACCAAGUAGCAUCUAAGAAAAAAUACUAAUAAUAAAAUAGAAAUUGUUAGCAUUAAUAAGUUAGAAUUAUAUAAAAAAAAAUGAAGCAUUCAAGCAACAGUUCUUCGAAAAACCAAGCAUUCUCAAAACAAUUUGUUUUUUCUGUGUUAUUUGUUUGAUGCAAGUGAAAACUGUUUUGUGGGUUUAUUUUAAAAAGAAUGUCAAAUUUCAAACAUUAUUUUUAAUUAUUAUUAAAUGUGCUUAUUAUUUUAGUAUAAAUAUAUUUCCUAUUUAUCAUGAUCUAUUAUAAUUGAUGCAUGUAGUUUUACCUUCUUCUUUUUUUUUUCAAAUUAAAAUUAUAGUUUAUUUUCCUAUCUAGUUCACAAUUUGUAUAUUAUUUAAAAAAUAAGAAAAAAUAACAUUAUUAGUAAUAUUUAAAAUAAUUAAAAUAUGUAAUUUAAAAACUUAUUAAAAUAAAACCCUAAAAUCGCACAUUAAAAACUAGUAUAUAUAAAAGCAAGAGUUUGAAAAAACUUUUGAAUCGACGAUAAUACCCUUUAAUUUCCAUCAUAUUACUAAAUCGAUAAUUAAAUAAUUAUAAUUAAAUUUAUAUUUAUUAGUUAACUAAAUAAUAUACACUACUUUAAUAAAAUAGAAUUAUAAAUCAAUAAAAGUCUUAGCAUAAAAUAAUUAAACCAUAAUUUAGGUGCUUUUUCUUUUCUUUUUAUAUAAUUCUUUAAAGGAUAUAUUAUGUUUUUCAACAAUAAAUAAAUUGAGAUAAUUUUAUCUGCUUUUAAAUAGAGUUAUAAUCUCAAUAUAGAGAGAGUUAUGAGUAAGGUUGUUAUAUUUUAAAAAAGAAUUAGUGAUAAUUUUCUUAAUGUUAAGCAUAAAAUAGAUAUUGAUUUUAUCUUUUAAUUCAUAGCUUUUAAUAUCGUUUAUUAGUGCUAUAGUUAUAUACCACUUAAAAUUUAAGUUUGGCUCUAUAAAUAACAUUUAAGUUAAGCAUAUUCAAUCAAGUAAGUUCUAAGAAAAAUCAUUGGUAAAAAUAAAGAAAAUUGUCAAAAUUAAUAAGUUAGAAGUGUCUCGAAGAGCAUUAAACAAAUGAUUUUUCGUAAUGGAAAUAUUGAAUUAUAUUUGAAUGACGAUGAUACGGAAAAUAUAUAGAGAAUUGUAUUAUGAUUUUUUUAAAAUUUAUUUAUAUAGUGCAAAGCAACCUAUACCGCCCUGAAUAACUUAUGCCAUGUUUGGUUGGGUAUAUUGGCAUAGCUAAUACACCCCUAAUCGGUGGGCCCCACUAAUCUCUCUUUAUUCCGUCGUUUGGUUUAAUGUAUACGCGUGUAAUACAUUACUUUUCUAAUCGGUGAAAACCACCGAUUUCUAAUCCCUCUCUUUUGCCCAGAUUAGAUUCCUCUUCAGUUUCCCCUCCCUGUUUUACCCUCUCCCUCAACCUGAAUCCAACUCCAUUUUCUUCUUCACUUUCAACCUAGAUCAAAUCUGCCUCUAUUUCUAAAACUAAAGAGAACCCUUUUUCUUCUUCACCAUCUUUCAUCUAUGUAUCAAUCUUUUCCCUUUGAUGCUUUCAGUUUAAAAGAUCGGGUGGGGACGGUGCUCCAGUUACAAGUGCUCUCACUUGCUCUGCUCUUCUUACUUUACUCAGCUUUGGGUCUUUUAAAUAAUAAGAAAGGUUCAUACUUUUGGCCUGAUCCUGUUCUUGAAUUAGUUCUGCUUUUAGCUUUUGUUGAAUAAUUUUUGUUGUAUUACUUGCAAAGAAAGGAUACAAGUGGGAUUGAGAAUAGAUAUUUUGAUCUUUUAUGUGUUCCCAUAGCAAUUUGUGUGGUUUCAACAAUGUUAGAAUUGAGAUCUAACAGGUCCAUUUACUCGAAAUCGGUACGAGGUAUUGGGUUGAUUUUACACGGAACAUGGUUUGUGCAAAUGGGAUUUUCAUUUUACACUAAUUUGAUGGUUCAUGGAUGUAGCUUACAUGAAAAAAGUAGAGGGAAUUAUACUAUUAAAUGCAGAAGUCACCCUGAUUAUCAUAGAGCAAGGUCUAUUGCCACAUUGCAAUUCAAUUGCCAUCUUGCUUUGCUUGUGGUUCUGGUUGUUGGGAUGUUAUCGCUUAUUGGCAAAAGAAACGGUGUUGCUGUUGGUGCUUCAGGGGAUGGUUUGCGGUAUAAGCCAUUAGGGGCUGAAAUACAGCUAAUGGAUAGUAAUGGGGGGAAUUUCACUUUGGAUUUCGAUGAUGAUCUCGACAGUGGGAUUAAAGAAGAAGAUGAUUUGGUGAAAGAGAAGUCGGCUGUUGUGGAAUUGGGUGGUAAUGGCCAUGCUUCACAUGUCUGAGGUAAACAUUGGUUUCUUUCGGAUAGCUGGGUGAAAAGCAUUGUAAUUUUAUUCUUUUGUAAUGAUAUUAGUGAANNNNNNNNNNNNNNNNNNNNNNNNNNNNNNNNNNNNNNNNNNNNNNNNNNNNNNNNNNNNNNNNNNNNNNNNNNNNNNNNNNNNNNNNNNNNNNNNNNNNAUUGACUUUGCAUAAACUAAAAUAUACCCGUUUGUUUGUUGUUUUGGUCAAUGAGAUUUGAGUUCUAUUUCGUGUUCUAUCUGAUUUUGAUUCUCGUAUGUUAAUGCAGUUUUCGAGUUUAAAAAUUGUAUUGAGUGGUUGCCUAUAUCAUAGUAUUUGACAUGAUUGUAAUUCCUUUGGAUAGUUGAACCUUUUCCAAUAUCUAGUCAUACUUUGGAUAGUUAAAUGGCAUUCGGCACUUGUAUAUAUUUGGAGAGUCAUACUUCAUAGUUCAUGCCCAUAUUUGAAUGAUGUUUAUAUUUUAAAAACUUCUAAAUAAUGUUUAUUUUGCACUGGUUUGUCAUAUUGGUCGGGUAUUUAUUCUAUUCUCAUUUCCUGACAAUUAAGUAUUUAAGUCGUAUCUGCUCUCAGUAGGAUGGCUAUCUUAUGUAGAACAAAUCGGGAUGCUCAUCUUGCAGUUCUUUUUCUUUUCCCUCUAUAUUCCACUGUUCUUUUAUUUCCAAAUAAAUGGCAUUUACUUUGUUGCAAUUAACUCGCAGAUAACUAAGCAAAUUCAGGCUGUUAACGAGGUUUACAAGUUUCACAAUCUUCCCGAGUUCUAUAAGGUCUGUGCCGUUAUAAUUAAUUGCCAAGUCUAAUCAAUAGUUCAUAAAAUACAGAGCAAUGAUCUUAUUCUUUGACAUUGACCCAAAUACCCAACAGGUAUGCUAUGCCUUUACUUUCUACAUCAUUACAUCUAUUCUAACAAAGAAAUUGUUUGGGAUUAAGCUUUGGGUUGUGUUGGCUAUCACUAGAGCUUCUGGAUUGUUAAAGCAAUUACUGGUUUUGAUUAAUUACAUCUAUGGUUUUUCCAAUAGGAGGAUUGAAUUGCUUUGCACGUCAUUAAGGUCUUUCCUUUUAGAGUUUCUAGUUUGCUUGAGUUUAAAAUGUGGAUGUGUUUUAGUAACAUUUUGUCUUUAUAUGUUUCUUACAAAAGUUCCUCUUAUGUGCCUUUUACUUUUGUGAAUCAUGAGGAUAUUGAUGGAACUUGAGCUUCAGUUUAGGUUUCUGGAUUGGAGUGUUUCUCCUUGUAUUAGGGCUGUUAAUACCACCCUGUGUUUAUCUCAAAGCUAAAGAUACGAGGUGUCAAACUACAUUUCUUUCUGCUUUCAUUUAAAUGGGGCCUGCUUGCUACUGCUGCCAUUACUGUGUUGAAAACCUUGUUUCUAUAGGAAGUCUCCAAUGAUACCGUAAUGUUGUUACUGACUAUUAUUGCAGUGAGUGUUGGAGCAUUUCAGAAUUAGUUCGUUUGACUAGUGCUUUUUUUUUGCCUCAUAUUUUGUGUAGAUAGCUGUUCUGACUUGCUUGAGCAUCAUAUGUUUCAUGUAUGUUGAGUGCAUUGUUUCAGUCCCUAUAUUGUGAGCCAAAAAUUGGAGGUUAUGCUAUUUCCCUGUUUAGAAGAAUUCUGGAGAACACUAUGAAUUCUAUUUNNNNNNNNNNNNNNNNNNNNNNNNNNNNNNNNNNNNNNNNNNNNNNNNNNNNNNNNNNNNNNNNNNNNNNNNNNNNNNNNNNNNNNNNNNNNNNNNNNNNNNNNNNNNNNNNNNNNNNNNNNNNNNNNNNNNNNNNNNNNNNNNNNNNNNNNNAUCAAAGCUUCUCAGUUGGUUCUUAAUGCUAUAGAAAUCCUGAAACAGAAGCUGGAUGCAGUUCGCCUGUCUGAGGAUACUGUGGAAGCUGAUGAUCAGUUUGGUGAACUAGGUGCCCAUAUACGAGGAGGAUGAUCUGCUUGUAAUUAUGAACUAGCCAUUGACAUUUGUAGGUUUCAGAAAAGGCGUGUUUACAUCUAACUAACUUCCUUUUGUUUAAAACUCUUGAGAUAUUUUGGGUAGAACAGACUACUUGUUUUCCUCAAUGAAAAUUGUCAGCUAUAUGCCAUCUGUUUUAAACUUAAAAGCCAGCAAAGCAUGGACUGGCAAAUGAUUUAGCCUGUAGCUUAUUACUUUGUCCAAACUAUCAGCCUUUGUAUUUAUGUUUCUGCUUUGUUGUUUCUUCCCACCAGUGAUUCAUCAGUGAGCUUUUAGCUGGUUGAAAUGUAUAGUAGCAUUUCGCUUUUUGCCUCUAUUGUAUGUCGAGAUUAAGUUUCCCUUUGGCUU
Molecule: long non-coding RNA, 31465 nt
Filed under: Gossypium raimondii (Peruvian cotton)
Lineage: Eukaryota; Viridiplantae; Streptophyta; Magnoliopsida; Malvales; Malvaceae
Description: long non-coding RNA (GRAI_LNC004673)
Source: RNAcentral